Molecule: small nucleolar RNA, 105 nt
Filed under: Eucalyptus grandis
Lineage: Eukaryota; Viridiplantae; Streptophyta; Magnoliopsida; Myrtales; Myrtaceae
Description: Plant small nucleolar RNA R71
Rfam family: Plant small nucleolar RNA R71
About the family: R71 is a member of the C/D box family of snoRNAs containing the C (UGAUGA) and D (CUGA) box motifs. Multiple nearly identical copies of this snoRNA have been identified in Arabidopsis, and it is thought to function as a 2'-O-ribose methylation guide for 18S ribosomal RNA.
Source: Rfam by way of RNAcentral
AGUACGUGAUGUGGACAUCUGCUAAGAAAUUCUUUGAAUCUUUCCCAUGCUUCAUAUAAUGAUUAAUUAUCCAUCUGCACAAAAUUAGUAAUAUCUUACGCAUCU